This 213-nucleotide ribosomal RNA is filed under the name uncultured bacterium. RNAcentral describes it as "partial 16S ribosomal RNA". It matches the Rfam family "Bacterial small subunit ribosomal RNA", at positions 118 to 347 of the family's 1533-position model. The record is from RNAcentral.
UAGGAAUAUGUCCAGAGGUGGGGACAACCCGGGAAACUGGGGCUAAUACCGCAUAUGAGCUGAGGCUCAAAGCAGUGAUGCGCCUUUGGAGUAGCCUGCGUCCGAUUAGCUUGUUGGUGGGGUAAUGGCCUACCAAGGCGACGAUCGGUAGCUGGUCUGAGAGGACGACCAGCCACACUGGGACUGAGACACGGCCCAGACUCCGUACGGGAG